CCUCCUUUCUUCCUCCUUUCUUCCUCUUUUUCCCUUUCCUGCCUUCUUAACCAGCCAUGCCGCGUGCAGGAAGACGGCUCUAUGAGUUGUAAACUGCUUUUGUACAAGGGUAAACCUGAAUACGUGUAUUCAGCUGAAAGUACUGUACGAAUAAGGAUCGGCUAACUCCGUGCCAGCAGCCGCGGUAAUACGGAGGAUCCAAGCGUUAUCCGGAUUUAUUGGGUUUAAAGGGUGCGUAGGCGGAUUGAUAAGUUAGAGGUGAAAUGUCCGAGCUUAACUCGGGAACUGCCUCUAAUACUGUUGAUCUAGAGAGUAGAUGCGGUAGGCGGGAUGUAUGGUGUAGCGGUGAAAUGCUUAGAGAUCAUACAGAACACCGAUUGCGAAGGCAGCUUACCAAUCUAUAUCUGACGUUGAGGCACGAAAGCGUGGGGAGCAAACAGGAUUAGAUACCCGUGUAGUC
RNAcentral lists this ribosomal RNA (460 nucleotides) under uncultured bacterium. Its description in RNAcentral is "partial 16S ribosomal RNA". It matches the Rfam family "Bacterial small subunit ribosomal RNA", at positions 376 to 795 of the family's 1533-position model. The record is from RNAcentral.